UACAGUGCCCUCUUUCCUCUCUCACUAAAUCCGGUCACCGGAUUUCUUACCGGCGACGUCACCCCGGUCGCGUUCCGGCCACACACGCACUCACCCACCUCCCUUCUUCUCCGAUGAGACACCCACGUUCGCUCUCUGACUCUCUCUCCUCGUUUUACCGACACCGCCGCUAUGGCGGUGGUGAGGGUGCUGGUAAUGACGAUGAUGAGCUGAUGUUGUUGAUGAGGAUGGCGGCGACACGUCGACGAUGGCCAGAGAAGACAGCGGCGACAACAGUCAGCACGGGUCAGGCCCUGCUCCGAUGAAGACAAGCUGAGAGUGAUGACCGGUGACACAAUUUUUGACGACCGCUGUUGAUGAUCUUUUUCCGUAAACAACCAAACUCCGGUAGUGUUGAAGAGGAUGAUUUACCAAUGACAAUGGGUUAAUGAUGAUGUGCUGGGGUGGCCGACGGCGGCACCGUCGGAGCCACAUCAGUGGCGGCGACAGUGAAUAGGUGAACACGUUCAAGUUUUCUUUUGGUUCGAAGUUUUUUUUUCUCUCUGGUUGUUUCGGGCUCGGAUCAGACGCCGGCACGAUGGGUUCACACACAGACAGAUUUGUUUUCUUUGUUCAGGUCCUACUUAGACUCGGUUCUGGUUCAAGUCGUGGACUCGGUUCAAAGUGGUUUGAGUUUUAUUUCAGAUUCAGCUCUAAUUUAGUUCAGGUGCACGUCAGUUGUGGUUCAGGUUCGUGAAACGGUUCGACUCGGUGCAACACGACUCGACUCGGCAACUCACUAGUCGACUCGGUCAAACCCGAGUCAACUCGGGUCAGCAGCAGUCAACACAACAAAAACUGGUCAACCCGGUUCACAUUUUUUAUUCGGUGUUCGAAUCCAUUGCGGUCAACAAAAGUCGGCGGUCAAACUUUGGUCAACGACAGUCAACUGUCGGGUCAAAGGCGGUCAACUCAGGACCCGGAAUGCUUUAGUUGCACGCUAGCGAGUUCACAUUCGUGGGAUGACACUACGGAAUCACGCUAGGCUAGCAUUGCACAGGAAGGUCAAGGUUGCAUUUUCAAAACUAUGGAACGGUUGGAAUAGGAGAAUCCAUGGGAAUUCGAGUA
Molecule: long non-coding RNA, 1107 nt
Organism: Helianthus annuus (common sunflower)
Lineage: Eukaryota; Viridiplantae; Streptophyta; Magnoliopsida; Asterales; Asteraceae
Exons: 4
Source: RefSeq, a predicted model, not a curated record